RNAcentral lists this long non-coding RNA (1070 nucleotides) under Homo sapiens (human). RNAcentral describes it as "HSALNT0295611". The record is from RNAcentral. Lineage: Eukaryota; Metazoa; Chordata; Mammalia; Primates; Hominidae.
GCCUCGUGUGUCCUUCCGCCUCAGCCGCCUCCUCCCACCGCAAGCCCCGCCCCACUGUCGCCGCGGCCUCGGCCCCGCCGCCUUGGGCACCCAGGGGUUUCCCGCAGGAAGAAGCGCCGGCCCGAGCUCCGCGCGGAGGGAUCUACUACGAGUCACUGGCCCCGUCCGCAUCCUUCUCCAGCAGCCUUAACUCGAUCAGGGCUGCAGCGGCUCGCUGGCUUGACCAGUGCAGAAGGGGCGUGGAGGUGAGGGGGGUGGGGUAGGACUCUGAACUUCAAGCACUGGAGUUUGCCGGGAUCGUGAACUUGCAGGGAGAGGCGGUCCUCAUCCAGUGAGGUCUGUAUCGCCACCUACACCCACACAUCCACACACUGCUUUGCUAGCUAGAGGAAUGCUCUGGAGUAGGACCAGUGCUGUCAAAGAAGGAAAGUGGGCCAAGGCGCCAAAGUCCAUUAAAAAGGAAUAGAGCCAUCACGGAGUGGUGCUGCCCCAUUCAUUCAUUCAUUUGUUCAUCCGUGUAGCGAAUAUUUCUUAAGUGCCUUACUUUGCGUAGCUGUGUGCUUGGCAGUGGGAUGAUACCAAAGAUGCACAAGCAACUUUGAGUACCAAGACUUUGCCGCUGUGGGCUGGGGGAUUCAGGGAAGGCUUUCCCAGAGGAGCUGGGAUGAAAGCAGGAUCUUGAAAGGUACUAACAGUCUAAGCAGAAAAAGAAGAACAGAUGGUGGUAAGACCUAGAAUGUUUACCCCAUUAAGAUCUAUAUCUGAAUCCAGAAGGAACACCUCAUUGCUGAGAAGAGCCCUGCAGACAGUUCACACCUCUGUUUCUUUUGCAAGAUAUAGCUACCUCAAAAAAUCCUUUCUUGAUCAAACUCUUAUGGCCUGGAAUCCUUGCGUUUCUGCUGAUGACUGUCAUUUUAGAGUACUUACUAAAGACAAUGGUUGGGGAAAUAGAUAUUUUAAAAAUAAGGGAAGAAGUGGGUAGGGUAAACCCAGGCUUACUUAUGUAAACUCUGAGUGCUGAAGUUAGAAGACAACCUUUAAGAUUAAAAAAAAAAAAAAAAAAAAAAAAA